CUUCAAAUUAAAAUCACGAUCGGGCUUCCUGUGCGCUAACUCAUUCUCCGACUCCGUAUUUUUGUUUUGCGCCAUCAGCCGAAGUGAAGCCAAACUCAGAUAAUUCACUUUCACCCAGCCCAGCCCAUUAAUCCCAUCAAUCUGAUAAUUCACUUUAUCCGAGCCCAGCCCAUUAACCCUAAUCUACGUAUUGUUGAGACUCAAGCCAAAGCGCACACAGCUUUCUCAUCCUCUGAAUAACCU
This 243-nucleotide long non-coding RNA is filed under the name Brassica rapa (field mustard). RNAcentral describes it as "long non-coding RNA (BRAP_LNC005108)". Lineage: Eukaryota; Viridiplantae; Streptophyta; Magnoliopsida; Brassicales; Brassicaceae. The record is from RNAcentral.